CUUCUCCUUAGCUGACUCCUACUCAGCCUCCACCACGGCCUGCAGAGCCUAAAGGAAACACAUCUAGUGCUGAACUGUGAGACAAUGAAGUACUCAUGUGUUUCAUGCACCCACACAUACCUGCCUUGUAGGGAGAACAUGAUGAGGAUCCAGUUUGGACACAAAUGCCCUGAAUCAUCCACAAUACUGAAGGGCUGCGUGUCCUUCGCUGUCAUGGAGACGAGGCUUCAUCCAGCUCUUGUUUUAAAAGACAAUGAACACAGUGUCUGUUACCUGUCUUUAUUUGCACAAUGAACAACAGUGAAUAAUUGUGUUGGUGCAUUUGUAAUGUUGUGAUGACUUACCUUGGCUGGGUGAAGCUCCAGGUUCCUCCUUAUUCUCAUGCAAGGCACGGUGAGGCCUCAGCAUGGAGGAGGUGCUGUUAUUGCACCCAAACUCCUCGGAGCACAAUAAACACCUCACCUUUGAAUCAAAUAAGAAACUGAAAAAUACAGUUCUUGAUAAGCAAACCUAAUGUGUCUGAAAUAGAGUGAGAUUCAGCUCACCUUAUUAGGAGUGAUCUAAUCACAGAGGAAGUCCUCCUCUUCCUAGCUGGCUCCAUCUUAUCACCUGUCCUUCUCUCCUCACUCUCAACUAUCUCUCUCUAAACUCUCCAAACGAUAUAAACUAUCCCAACCAUCCAAACUCUAACUGACCAACUCUCCACCAACAACCCACAUCUUGAAUGGAGCCUGAGGGGUUUAUACAUGGAAGUAAAUCUGAAGCCCUUCUCGAAGCCGUCACGUGGUCCCGCCGGGCAGCGAGGCUUCGGACGCCAUCGUUUAUGGCUCCUCCCCUAAAUGAAGCGAGCCUCGGUACGCGCUGCGAGGACACGCCCCCUCAGUCACUCGACACGCGCGAGGCGUCGGCACAUCUGCUUAAGAACACUCGCGGGUCAGGUAGUUAGCAGCCUUGGAACUGCACACAGGUUUUUUGCAGUGGCCGAACAUUGAGAAAAGGCCACAAUGACUCUGUGGCCCUAAAAGGACUCGAGAUGACGAUGAAAGCUCUUGGGACAAAACGUCCUCAUCCAAAGGGCGCAUCCCAAAGAAGAGGGUCCGACGCCGUCAGAGACUUGACACCGGCGUCAGAGCGCCAUUGCUCGCCCGAUACGAAAGGCCCGAAAGCUCCGGGCAGCGUGUCAGCGUGAC
This is a long non-coding RNA of Gasterosteus aculeatus aculeatus (three-spined stickleback), 1190 nucleotides long. The record is from Ensembl. Lineage: Eukaryota; Metazoa; Chordata; Actinopteri; Perciformes; Gasterosteidae.